AGGCAUGCAAGUCGAACGGUAUAAACCUUUCGGGGCUUAGAGAGUGGCGAACGGGUGAGUAACACGUAGGUAAUCUACCCUCAAAACGGGGACAACCAGGGAAACUUGGGCUAAUACCGGAUGCGUGCAAGCAAUGUUUUGGCUGUUAAUGCUAUUCACGGAAGUGAGUAGUGUUAAUGGUUGAGAGCAUUAUUUGCAUAAAAGGUGGCAUAUGCUGCCGUUUGAGGAUGAGCCUGCGUCCUAUUAGUUAGUUGGUGAGGUAAUGGCUUACCAAGGCGAUGAUAGGUAGGCGGCCUUAACGGGUGGUCGCCCACACUGGGAUUGAGAGACGGCCCAGACUCCUACGGGAGGCAGCAGUCGAGAAUAGUCUACAAUGGACGGAAGUCUGAUAGUGCGACGCCGCGUGAACGAAGAAUCCCUUCGGGGUGUAAAGUUCUUUUAUACGUGAGCAGUGCCCUUUAUAUGAAUAGUAUAGAGGGAGGGAUUUAAGCGUAUGAAUAAGCAACGGCUAACUCCGUGCCAGCAGCCGCGGUAACACGGGGGUUGCAAGCGUUGUCCGGAAUUACUAGGCGUAAAGUGCAGGUAGGCGGAUAGAUAAGUUUAAGGUUAAAGGCUACGGCUUACCCGUAGUAAGGCGUUAGAUACUGUUUAUCUGGAAUGCGGUUGAGGGAGACAGAAUUCCUGGUGUAGCGGUGGAAUGCGCAGAGAUCAGGAGGAAUACCGAAGGCGAAGGCAGUCUUCUAAGCCGAUAUUGACGCUAAACUGCGAAGGUGUGGGGAUCAAACAGGAUUAGAUACCCUGGUAGUCCACACAGUAAACGAUAAUCACUAGGUGUUGGGUUCGUAUAGGACUCGGUGCCGGAGCUAACGCGAUAAGUGAUUCGCCUGGGGAGUACGAUCGCAAGGUUGAAACUCAA
RNAcentral lists this ribosomal RNA (916 nucleotides) under bacterium enrichment culture. RNAcentral describes it as "bacterial SSU rRNA". It matches the Rfam family "Bacterial small subunit ribosomal RNA", at positions 51 to 904 of the family's 1533-position model. The record is from RNAcentral.